AGUCAAGUGAACAAGCGCAUGUGGUGGAUGCCUAGGCGGCAGGAGGCGAUGAAGGACGUGGUAGCCUGCGAUAAGCCUCGGGGAGCUGGCAAACAAGCUUUGAUCCGGGGAUGUCCGAAUGGGGAAACCCACCGCGCAAGCGGUAUCCGUACCUGAAUCCAUAGGGUGCGGAGGCGAUACCCGGGGAAUUGAAACAUCUCAGUACCCGGAGGAAAAGAAAUCAACCGAGAUUCCCCCAGUAGUGGCGAGCGAACGGGGAACAGCCCUUAAGCUCUUGUUAGUUUAGUGGAACGGUCUGGAAAGUCCGGCCAUAGAGGGUGAUAGCCCUGUACACGAAAGGCUGAUAAGAGUGAAAUCGAGUAGGACGGGACACGCGAAAUCCUGUCUGAAGAUGGGGGGACCAUCCUCCAAGGCUAAAUACUCCCUGCCGACCGAUAGUGAACCAGUACCGUGAGGGAAAGGUGAAAAGAACCCCGGAGAGGGGAGUGAAAUAGAACCUGA
Molecule: ribosomal RNA, 501 nt
Filed under: Pseudomonadota bacterium
Lineage: Bacteria; Pseudomonadati; Pseudomonadota
Description: partial 23S ribosomal RNA
Rfam family: Bacterial large subunit ribosomal RNA
Source: RNAcentral